Molecule: unclassified non-coding RNA, 251 nt
Filed under: plant metagenome
Description: partial contains small subunit ribosomal RNA, internal transcribed spacer 1, and 5.8S ribosomal RNA
Rfam family: Eukaryotic small subunit ribosomal RNA (bases 1-54)
Source: RNAcentral
GGAAGUAAAAGUCGUAACAAGGUCUCCGUAGGUGAACCUGCGGAGGGAUCAUUACAGAGUUCAUGCCCUACCGGGUAGAUCUCCCACCCUAUGUUAUUAUUACUUUGUUGCUUUGGCGGGCCGUUAGGCUCCGGCCCGACUACCGGCCCCGGCUGGUAAGCGCCCGCCAGAGGACCCAAAACCCUGAAUAUUAGUGUCGUCUGAGUACUAUAUAAUAGUUAAAACUUUCAACAACGGAUCUCUUGGUUCUG